UCCAAAGUCAAGGUGGAACAGAGAGAAA
Molecule: non-coding RNA, 28 nt
Filed under: Mus musculus (house mouse)
Lineage: Eukaryota; Metazoa; Chordata; Mammalia; Rodentia; Muridae
Source: RNAcentral